UACGUAGGGUGCGAGCGUUUAAUCGGAAUUACUGGGCGUAAAGCGUGCGCAGGCGGUUCGUUAAGACAGAUGUGAAAUCCCCGGGCUUAACCUGGGAACUGCAUUUGUGACUGGCGAGCUAGAGUAUGGCAGAGGGGGGGUAGAAUUCCACGUGUAGCAGUGAAAUGCGUAGAGAUGUGGAGGAAUACCGAUGGCGAAGGCAAUCCCCCUGGGCCUGUACUGACGCUCAUGCACGAAAAGCGUGGGGGAGCAAACAGG
RNAcentral lists this ribosomal RNA (258 nucleotides) under uncultured bacterium. RNAcentral describes it as "partial 16S ribosomal RNA". It matches the Rfam family "Bacterial small subunit ribosomal RNA", at positions 524 to 776 of the family's 1533-position model. The record is from RNAcentral.